GAUGAAGAACGCAGCGAAAUGCGAUAAGUAAUGUGAAUUGCAGAAUUCAGUGAAUCAUCGAAUCUUUGAACGCACCUUGCACUCCUUGGUAUUCCGAGGAGUACGCCUGUUCGAGUGUUAUGAAGCUCUCAAAACGCAAUUGGCUUAAAACCUGAUUGUUGUUUUGGAUUUGAACUUUGCCGUGUUAUAACGGCUGGUUUUAAAAGUAUUAGCUGGUACUAGAACGAAUUGGUUCUACUCAACGUGAUAAUUAUCUGAUCGUUGAGGACAUUCCUUUCACGAGGAAUGGCCUUAGUAAAUUCAAUGGACUGCUUCUAAUCUGGCUUUAAUUCUUUAUUGGAUUAACCACUUUUCAAAUCUGACCUCGAAUCAGGUGGGACUACCCGCUGAACUUAAGCAUAUCAAUAAGCGGAGGA
RNAcentral lists this unclassified non-coding RNA (416 nucleotides) under soil metagenome. RNAcentral describes it as "partial contains 5.8S ribosomal RNA, internal transcribed spacer 2, and large subunit ribosomal RNA". The stretch from base 1 to 120 matches the Rfam family "5.8S ribosomal RNA", at positions 35 to 154 of the family's 154-position model. The record is from RNAcentral.